CUGUGAUGCCCUUAGAUGCUCUGGGCUGCACGGUAAGCUUAACCCCCUAUAACCCUUAUUUUAUUAACGACUUUAUGCUAACGAUAUUUUACAGCGCGCUACACUGACA
Molecule: ribosomal RNA, 109 nt
Filed under: Lecanoromycetes sp.
Lineage: Eukaryota; Fungi; Ascomycota; Lecanoromycetes
Description: partial small subunit ribosomal RNA
Source: RNAcentral